GGUGGGGGAUAACGUAGCGAAAGUUACGCUAAUACCGCGAUAUUCUGUGAGCAGGAAAGCAGGGGAUCGCAAGACCUUGCGCUGAUUGAGCGGCCGAUAUCAGAUUAGCUAGUUGGUGAGGUAAAGGCUCACCAAGGCGACGAUCUGUAGCGGGGUCUGAGAGGAUGAUCCGCCACACUGGAACUGAGACACGGUCCAGACUCCUACGGGAGGCAGCAGUGGGGGAAAUUUUGGACAAUGGGCGCAAGCCUGAUCCCAGCCAUGCCGCGUGAGUGAAGAAGGCCUUCGGGUUGUAAAGCUCUUUCGGCCGGGAAGAAAUACGCACGGGUUAAUACCCUGUGUGGAUGACGGUACCGGAAUAAGAAGCACCGGCUAACUACGUG
RNAcentral lists this ribosomal RNA (383 nucleotides) under uncultured bacterium. RNAcentral's name for it is "bacterial SSU rRNA". It matches the Rfam family "Bacterial small subunit ribosomal RNA", at positions 135 to 507 of the family's 1533-position model. The record is from RNAcentral.